This 502-nucleotide ribosomal RNA is filed under the name uncultured bacterium. RNAcentral describes it as "partial 16S ribosomal RNA". It matches the Rfam family "Bacterial small subunit ribosomal RNA", at positions 28 to 507 of the family's 1533-position model. The record is from RNAcentral.
GACGAACGCUGGCGGCGUGCCUAAUACAUGCAAGUCGAACGAACCGCGACUAAGUGCUUGCACUAAGUCAAGGUGAGUGGCGAACGGGUGGGUAACACGUGGGUAACCUACCUCAUAGUGGGGGAUAACAGUCGGAAACGACUGCUAAUACCGCAUAGGACAUAGGAUCACAUGAUCCAGUGAGGAAAGGUGGCGCAAGCUAUCGCUAAGAGAUGGACCCGCGGUGCAUUAGCUAGUUGGUAGGGUAAAGGCCUACCAAGGCGAUGAUGCAUAGCCGACCUGAGAGGGUGAUCGGCCACAUUGGGACUGAGACACGGCCCAAACUCCUACGGGAGGCAGCAGUAGGGAAUCUUCCGCAAUGGACGCAAGUCUGACGGAGCAACGCCGCGUGAGUGAAGAAGGUCUUCGGAUCGUAAAGCUCUGUUGUUAGAGAAGAACAGCGCAUAGAGUAACUGCUAUGCGUGUGACGGUAUCUAACCAGAAAGCCACGGCUAACUACGUG